RNAcentral lists this ribosomal RNA (839 nucleotides) under uncultured Paracoccaceae bacterium. Its description in RNAcentral is "bacterial SSU rRNA". It matches the Rfam family "Bacterial small subunit ribosomal RNA", at positions 49 to 936 of the family's 1533-position model. Lineage: Bacteria; Pseudomonadati; Pseudomonadota; Alphaproteobacteria; Rhodobacterales; Paracoccaceae. The record is from RNAcentral.
CUACACAUGCAGUCGAGCGAGACCUUCGGGUCUAGCGGCGGACGGGUUAGUAACGCGUGGGAACGUGCCCUUCUCUGCGGAAUAGCCACUGGAAACGGUGAGUAAUACCGCAUACGCCCUUCGGGGGAAAGAUUUAUCGGAGAAGGAUCGGCCCGCGUUAGAUUAGAUAGUUGGUGGGGUAAUGGCCUACCAAGUCUACGAUCUAUAGCUGGUUUUAGAGGAUGAUCAGCAACACUGGGACUGAGACACGGCCCAGACUCCUACGGGAGGCAGCAGUGGGGAAUCUUAGACAAUGGGCGCAAGCCUGAUCUAGCCAUGCCGCGUGUGUGAUGAAGGUCUUAGGAUCGUAAAGCACUUUCGCCAGGGAUGAUAAUGACAGUACCUGGUAAAGAAACCCCGGCUAACUCCGUGCCAGCAGCCGCGGUAAUACGGAGGGGGUUAGCGUUGUUCGGAAUUACUGGGCGUAAAGCGUACGUAGGCGGAUCAGAAAGUUGGGGGUGAAAUCCCGGGGCUCAACCCCGGAACUGCCUCCAAAACUCCUGGUCUUGAGUUCGAGAGAGGUGAGUGGAAUUCCAAGUGUAGAGGUGAAAUUCGUAGAUAUUUGGAGGAACACCAGUGGCGAAGGCGGCUCACUGGCUCGAUACUGACGCUGAGGUACGAAAGUGUGGGGAGCAAACAGGAUUAGAUACCCUGGUAGUCCACACCGUAAACGAUGAAUGCCAGUCGUCGGGCAGUAUACUGUUCGGUGACACACCUAACGGAUUAAGCAUUCCGCCUGGGGAGUACGGUCGCAAGAUUAAAACUCAAAGGAUUUGACGGGGGCCCGCACAAGCGGUGGA